AUUGAACGCUGGCGGCAGGCCUAACACAUGCAAGUCGAGCGGAUGAAGGGAGCUUGCUCCUGGAUUCAGCGGCGGACGGGUGAGUAAUGCCUAGGAAUCUGCCUGGUAGUGGGGGAUAACGUCCGGAAACGGGCGCUAAUACCGCAUACGUCCUGAGGGAGAAAGUGGGGGAUCUUCGGACCUCACGCUAUCAGAUGAGCCUAGAUCGGAUUAGCUAGUUGGUGGGGUAAAGGCCUACCAAGGCGACGAUCCGUAACUGGUCUGAGAGGAUGAUCAGUCACACUGGAACUGAGACACGGUCCAGACUCCUACGGGAGGCAGCAGUGGGGAAUAUUGGACAAUGGGCGAAAGCCUGAUCCAGCCAUGCCGCGUGUGUGAAGAAGGUCUUCGGAUUGUAAAGCACUUUAAGUUGGGAGGAAGGGCAGUAAGUUAAUACCUUGCUGUUUUGACGUUACCAACAGAAUAAGCACCGGCUAACUUCGU
This 483-nucleotide ribosomal RNA is filed under the name uncultured bacterium. Its description in RNAcentral is "partial 16S ribosomal RNA". It matches the Rfam family "Bacterial small subunit ribosomal RNA", at positions 30 to 506 of the family's 1533-position model. The record is from RNAcentral.